UCCUAUGUGGCUCAGUCAGUAUAGAAUCUGCCUGCAAUGCAGAAGAUGCAGGUUCGAUCCCUGGGUCAGGAA
This 72-nucleotide transfer RNA is filed under the name Bos taurus (domestic cattle). It matches the Rfam family "tRNA". Rfam says of the family: Transfer RNA (tRNA) molecules are approximately 80 nucleotides in length. Their secondary structure includes four short double-helical elements and three loops (D, anti-codon, and T loops). RNAcentral also lists the same sequence under 4 other names. Lineage: Eukaryota; Metazoa; Chordata; Mammalia; Artiodactyla; Bovidae. The record is from Rfam by way of RNAcentral.